UACGUAGGGUGCAAGCGUUAAUCGGAAUUACUGGGCGUAAAGCGUGCGCAGGCGGCUUUGCAAGACAGAUGUGAAAUCCCCGGGCUUAACCUGGGAACUGCAUUUGUGACUGCAUGGCUGGAGUGCGGCAGAAGGGGAUGGAAUUCCGCGUGUAGCAGUGAAAUGCGUAGAUAUGCGGAGGAACACCGAUGGCGAAGGCAAUCCCCUGGGCCUGCACUGACGCUCAUGCACGAAAGCGUGGGGAGCAAACAGG
RNAcentral lists this ribosomal RNA (253 nucleotides) under uncultured bacterium. RNAcentral's name for it is "partial 16S ribosomal RNA". It matches the Rfam family "Bacterial small subunit ribosomal RNA", at positions 524 to 776 of the family's 1533-position model. The record is from RNAcentral.